RNAcentral lists this ribosomal RNA (460 nucleotides) under uncultured bacterium. Its description in RNAcentral is "partial 16S ribosomal RNA". It matches the Rfam family "Bacterial small subunit ribosomal RNA", at positions 338 to 795 of the family's 1533-position model. The record is from RNAcentral.
CCUACGGGAGGCAGCAGUGAGGAAUAUUGGUCAAUGGGCGUAAGCCUGAACCAGCCAAGCCGCGUGAGGGAUGAAGGUUCUAUGGAUCGUAAACCUCUUUUAUAAGGGAAUAAAGUGUGGGACGUGUCCUAUUUUGUAUGUACCUUAUGAAUAAGGAACGGCUAACUCCGUGCCAGCAGCCGCGGUAAUACGGAGGAUCCGAGCGUUAUCCGGAUUUAUUGGGUUUAAAGGGUGCGUAGGCGGCCUUUUAAGUCAGCGGUGAAAGUCUGUGGCUCAACCAUAGAAUUGCCGUUGAUACUGGGAGGCUUGAGUAUGUUAGAGGCAGGCGGAAUGCGUGGUGUAGCGGUGAAAUGCUUAGAGAUCACGCAGAACCCCGAUUGCGAAGGCAGCCUGCCAAGCCAUGACUGACGCUGAUGCACGAAAGCGUGGGGAUCAAACAGGAUUAGAUACCCCUGUAGUC